GACGAACGCUGGCGGCGCGCCUAACACAUGCAAGUCGAACGGAGCUGAGAGAAGCUUGCUUUUCUUAGCUUAGUGGCGAACGGGUGAGUAACGCGUGAGUAACCUGCCCUGGAGUGGGGGACAACAGUUGGAAACGACUGCUAAUACCGCAUAAGCCCACGAUCCGGCAUCGGAUUGAGGGAAAAGGAUUUAUUCGCUUCAGGAUGGACUCGCGUCCAAUUAGCUAGUUGGUGAGGUAACGGCCCACCAAGGCGACGGUUGGUAGCCGGACUGAGAGGUUGAACGGCCACAUUGGGACUGAGACACGGCCCAGACUCCUACGGGAGGCAGCAGUGGGGGAUAUUGCACAAUGGGGGAAACCCUGAUGCAGCGACGCCGCGUGGAGGAAGAAGGUUUUCGGAUUGUAAACUCCUGUCGUUAGGGACGAUAAUGACGGUACCUAACAAGAAAGCACCGGCUAACUACGUG
Molecule: ribosomal RNA, 468 nt
Filed under: uncultured bacterium
Lineage: Bacteria
Description: partial 16S ribosomal RNA
Rfam family: Bacterial small subunit ribosomal RNA
Source: RNAcentral